Molecule: ribosomal RNA, 426 nt
Filed under: Tryonicus parvus
Lineage: Eukaryota; Metazoa; Arthropoda; Insecta; Blattodea; Tryonicidae
Description: partial 16S ribosomal RNA
Rfam family: Bacterial large subunit ribosomal RNA
Source: RNAcentral
CUCUUUUUGUUAAUUAUUUAAGGUAUGAUCUGCCCACUGAUAUUAUUGAAGGGCCGCGGUAUUUUGACCGUGCAAAGGUAGCAUAAUCAUUAGUCUUUUAAUUGGGGACUGGAAUGAAUGAUUGGACGAGAGGUAAUCUGUUUCUUUAAAUAUUUAUUGAAUUUAUAUAUUAAGUAAAAAUGCUUAGAUUUUUUAAUGGGACGAGAAGACCCUAUAGAGUUUAAUUAAUAAUAUUGUUAGUUGGUUAUUUAUAUUGAUUUGUUAUUAAUUUGGUUGGGGUGAUUAGAAGAUAAUAUGAACUCUUUUGUUUUGAUUUAUAUUGAUUUAUUAUUUUGUGAUCCAUUUUUAUUGAUUGUUAGUAAAAAUUACCUUAGGGAUAACAGCGUAAUCCCUUUUGAGAGUCCUUAUCAAUAAAGGGGAUUGCGA